Molecule: ribosomal RNA, 307 nt
Filed under: Lumbricus terrestris (common earthworm)
Lineage: Eukaryota; Metazoa; Annelida; Clitellata; Crassiclitellata; Lumbricidae
Description: eukaryotic LSU rRNA
Rfam family: Eukaryotic large subunit ribosomal RNA
Source: RNAcentral
AUUAAUAAGCGGAGGAAAAGAAACUAACGAGGAUUCCCUCAGUAACGGCGAGUGAAGCGGGAUCUAGCCCAGCACCGAAUCCCCCGGUGGAGACGCCGGCGGGAACUGUGGUGUUCGGGACGACCCACGCCCGUCGGUCGGACGCCCGAGUCCUCCUGAUAGGGGCUUCUCCCAGAGCGGGUGUAAGGCCUCUACGGCGUUCGAUCGGCGAGCCCGGGGAGUCCUAGGAGUCGGGUUGUUUGAGAUUGCAGCCCAAAGCGGGUGGUAAACUCCAUCUAAGGCUGAAUACGGGCACGAGUCCGAUAGC